CUCGGUAUAGCUCAGUUGGUAGAGCGCAUGCUUUGGGAGCAUGAGGCCGGCGGUUCGGAUCCGUCUACCGAGACCA
RNAcentral lists this transfer RNA (76 nucleotides) under Hydrogenophaga aromaticivorans. RNAcentral describes it as "tRNA-Pro". It matches the Rfam family "tRNA". Rfam says of the family: Transfer RNA (tRNA) molecules are approximately 80 nucleotides in length. Their secondary structure includes four short double-helical elements and three loops (D, anti-codon, and T loops). The record is from RNAcentral. Lineage: Bacteria; Pseudomonadati; Pseudomonadota; Betaproteobacteria; Burkholderiales; Comamonadaceae.